Molecule: long non-coding RNA, 1456 nt
Organism: Manis pentadactyla (Chinese pangolin)
Lineage: Eukaryota; Metazoa; Chordata; Mammalia; Pholidota; Manidae
Exons: 3
Source: RefSeq, a predicted model, not a curated record
CUUAAAUGGUUACUUCUGGGGACUAAGGCUGAAGUGGGAACAUGGCAUGAUGUUGCUUUUAUUAUAAAUCCUUUAAUACUGUUUGAUUUUUUUAACUUGUGCAUAUAUCACUUUGGAAAAUAUCAAAUUUCAAAAUAACUCAGUAAAACACUGUGCAAUUGAAAUUGAAGCGAUGUGGUAGAAGAAUGCUUAAUGACGUGGAAAAAAUAUCUACAAAAUGAAAAUAAAAACAGUAGGUUACAUAACAUGUCAGAAUGUAAAGCAGAACCCAUUUUUGUAUAUGUGUGAAGCACAUGUGGGUUAAAAUGAUGCUAUAUUAUAGUCAGUGUAUAUGACAAAUUCCUAACUUUAGAUAUAAAUGGGUAUUCAAUUUUUAUUAAUAGACUCCUUUUUCCUGAUUAACAAUGUUGAAUGAGUGUUUAAAGACUGGGUUUGAAGGAACCCUGUGUUGUCUUCCUUCCCAGGGCUUGACCAAGCCCUUCCUAUAGGCCAUUUAAUAAUGGGGUUUAUCUUUAUCUUAUGGGCAGUGAGGAGCCACUGAAGUAAGUGAAGCAGACAGUGUGGUAAGAUUGCUUUAGGGUUUCUCUCCCUAAACUGUGGAAAUGUUUUGAGAGGCAAGCCCUGAAUCAGAAGCAAGAGUUAGGAAGCAGUUAGGCAACAAGGCAGGAAACGCUGGGUUCCUGAAGCAGGAAAGCAGCGGCAGGGUUAGAGCGAAGGGGGCAGGGUCAGAAACGACGCGACAGUGUCAGCCGGACUAGUGGAGAGGCUGUGUGUCCGCAACUGUAAGCUCCGUGAGGAUGAGGACCUCUUUGAUGUCAUUUACUGUUCCAUCCCAGGUGUACCCAGCACAGUUUCUGAUGCAUGUUGACACUCAGUAAAUAUCUGUGAUCUGAAGAAGAGGAAAGAAUCAGGAUGGCUGCCCAGAAGCCUGCCCGGGUUACGUGGGUGAAGGAUGGGCUGUUCGCUGAGUGGUAACGUGAAUGGCAGGCAGCGGGGCAGAGGGAGACGGAGAUGGAAGUUCUAAGCCCACAGUUCUCAAAGUACACUUCUGGUGGUUUUUCACAAGCAUGUGGAAGCUAUCUGAAGAUCAGAAGGGGAUUUCCUGGACCCUGGACUCACCCCUUCCUGGACGCACCCCUUCCCUGACUGGAGAAAGACAUUGUUCCGGAGACUCACUAAACAGUAUUGAAGAAAACAAAGUCCUUGCCCUCAGGGAGCCUCUAAACCAGCAUCCAUGAUUUUGUUGAAUAUUCACUGUGCACAAGAAGCUGUGGAAGGUCCAUCCAAGUUUGUAACAAGAGACUCCCCCUAAAUUUCUGACAAGUUAUUCGCUGCUCAUCCUUUGCCUGGCAUUGCUCAAACCAAGUUCAAAAACAGCAGAAACCUGGAAUGUACAGCUUUUUUUCUGUUUCAGAUGGUUUUACAUGGGUUUACCAAAAUAAAUUACAUCAAAUUA